GGUUGAUCCUGCCAGUAGUCAUAUGCUUGUCUCAAAGACUAAGCCAUGCAUGUCUAAGUAUAAAUGAUAUACAGUGCAACUGCGAAUGGCUCAUUAAAACAGUUAUAGUUUAUUUGAUAAUCGAAUUUACAUGGAUAACCGUGGUAAUUCUAGAGCUAAUACAUGCUGGUUAGCCUGACUUUUAGGAAGGGCUGUAUUUAUUAGAUAACAAACCAAUAUUCCUUGUGUCUAUUGUGAUGACUCAUAAUAACUGAUCGAAUCGCAUGGACUUUGUCCGCGAUAAAUCAUUCAA
Molecule: ribosomal RNA, 292 nt
Filed under: uncultured eukaryote
Lineage: Eukaryota
Description: partial 18S ribosomal RNA
Rfam family: Eukaryotic small subunit ribosomal RNA
Source: RNAcentral